AAGAAAAUAAAAGGUCACUAUUAUGAAAAUAUUUAGGAAGCAAUUAUGGUAACGAGGGAAUCACUAACUUUUACAUUUCUAGAAAUAGCCAGGGGGCGCCUGGGUGGUGUAGCGGGUUAAGCGUCCAACUCUUGGUUUUGGCUGGGGUCAUGAUCUCAGGGUCUCAGGGUCGUGAGAUCGAGCCCACACUGGCUCCAUGCUCCGUGUGAGUCUGCUCGAGAUUCUCUCUCCCUCUGCCCCUCCCACUUGUGCUCUCUCUUUCUCUAAAAUUAAAAAAAAAAAAAAAUAGAAAAAGACAUAGCCAAAUACUCAAAAUUAACAAUUAAAUGAUUGAAUUAUUCUUGGAUUAGUUUUUUUAAUGGAGAUACUUAAUUGAGAGUGCUGAAGAUUGCCUGCUUUUUCCCCAGUCUUCUGAUUCUUACUAUUCAAAUUUAGAUAAAGAAUGAUGUCCCUCAGUGAUCUGCUCACACACUGAUUUUAUUACAGAAAAGAGCAAGACAGUCUCCAACUAGAAAAGUGAGGUACACAGUACCGUGACUCCCACACUGCUCCUCCUCUGCCUAGUCCUCCUCUUUGAGACUGACAUUCAUCACAUCGUAAUGAACGUGUCUGUGACUCUGUUCCAAUUCCUGGCAGAUUUGAUCGGCGAGUAUCAGAUGCAGAAACUGAGGACAAAGCGGAAGUCAAGUCACUUGGAACAGUCAAGGCAAUAAUGUGCCCAAAGAUGAGAAGAGUGAUCUGGGAUCAAGACCAGGAAGAAGUUAAGGAGGUUGGAUGGAAACGGAAAAAGCGAAGGGAGGUGAGUCUGGAGUUCAAAAAAAAAGGGAAAAAAAAAAAAAAAGGGAAAAAAAAGUUUCAAAACCAGUUUUGAAAAAUAAAAUAAUGCUUUUCUAUAAAUAGAAACA
Molecule: long non-coding RNA, 905 nt
Filed under: Ursus maritimus (polar bear)
Lineage: Eukaryota; Metazoa; Chordata; Mammalia; Carnivora; Ursidae
Description: lncRNA (ENSUMAG00000000100.1)
Source: RNAcentral